UAGAGUUUGAUCCUGGCUCAGAUUGAACGCUGGCGGCAGGCCUAACACAUGCAAGUCGAGCGGUAACACAGAGGAGCUUGCUCCUUGGGUGACGAGCGGCGGACGGGUGAGUAAUGCCUGGGGAUCUGCCCGAUAGAGGGGGAUAACUACGGGAAACUGUAGCUAAUACCGCAUAAUGUCUACGGACCAAAGUGGGGGCUCUUCGGACCUCAUGCUAUCGGAUGAACCCAGGUGGGAUUAGCUAGUUGGUGAGGUAAUGGCUCACCAAGGCGACGAUCUCUAACUGGUUUGAGAGAAUGACCAGUCACACUGGAACUGAGACACGGUCCAGACUCCUACGGGAGGCAGCAGUGGGGAAUAUUGCACAAUGGGCGCAAGCCUGAUGCAGCCAUGCCGCGUGUGUGAAGAAGGCCUUCGGGUUUGUAAAGCACUUUCAGCGGGGAGGAAGGGUCACUAGUUAAUACCUAGUGGCAUUGACGUUACUCGCAGAAGAAGCACCGGCUAACUCCGUGCCAGCAGCCGCGGUAAUACGGAGGGUGCAAGCGUUAAUCGGAAUUACUGGGCGUAAAGCGCACGCAGGCGGUUUGUUAAGUCAGAUGUGAAAUCCCCGAGCUCAACUUGGGAACUGCAUUUGAAACUGGCAAGCUAGAGUCUUGUAGAGGGGGGUAGAAUUCCAGGUGUAGCGGUGAAAUGCGUAGAGAUCUGGAGGAAUACCGGUGGCGAAGGCGGCCCCCUGGACAAAGACUGACGCUCAGGUGCGAAAGCGUGGGGAGCAAACAGGACUAGGUACCCUGGUAGUCCACGCUGUAAACG
RNAcentral lists this ribosomal RNA (813 nucleotides) under uncultured bacterium. Its description in RNAcentral is "bacterial SSU rRNA". It matches the Rfam family "Bacterial small subunit ribosomal RNA", at positions 1 to 808 of the family's 1533-position model. The record is from RNAcentral.